CUCUGUACCGGCGAGAAAGGCGUCGGCCGCAGCGGUAAGCCCCUCCACUACAAAGGCUCCUCUUUCCAUCGUGUGAUCCCUAACUUUAUGUGCCAAGGAGGUGACUUCACCGCCGGAAACGGUACCGGAGGUGAAUCCAUCUACGGAUCCAAGUUCGCUGACGAGAACUUCAUCAAGAAGCACACUGGUCCCGGUAUUCUCUCAAUGGCUAACGCUGGUCCCGGAACUAACGG
Molecule: long non-coding RNA, 233 nt
Filed under: Gossypium barbadense (sea-island cotton)
Lineage: Eukaryota; Viridiplantae; Streptophyta; Magnoliopsida; Malvales; Malvaceae
Description: long non-coding RNA (GBAR_LNC000811)
Source: RNAcentral